Molecule: long non-coding RNA, 1032 nt
Organism: Cynara cardunculus var. scolymus (artichoke)
Lineage: Eukaryota; Viridiplantae; Streptophyta; Magnoliopsida; Asterales; Asteraceae
Exons: 2
Source: RefSeq, a predicted model, not a curated record
UGUCACAUCAUCUCACACAAUGAAUAUGGUAAGAACCAAUAAUCUUACCCGAUAAGAACGAGACAAGAACCAAGAGCCUUACCCCGGUAAGUAAAGGCGAUGACUCUUACCACGGUAAGUGCUUACCGGGUAAAUUGUUACAUGUGAUGUCGUUUUGGUGGAUUAAAAUAUUACCGGGUAGGUAAAUUGUAGUGUUAAAUCUCACCAGUAAACACUUACGGGUAACUAUUUAGUAAACGGCCUCUUAAUCUGUUUGAAUCAAAGUUUUAGUAGGAUUAUGCCUGUUGUAGUAUAUGUAUACGUUCCACAUAAAUCUUUGUGUUCUCUCUUAAUUGCAACUAUAGAGAAACUUCAUUUAAUGGUUGUUUUUCUUGACUUUCAUUUAAUUUUGUAGCGGCUUCAUUGGAGACGUGCGUCAAGAACGAACGAUGGAUUGAUGUUAACUUCUCCGCUCACGCCCAUUCACAAUGAUAAUGAGAAAUGGAGCAAAACAGAUGGUUCAAGCAUGCCACUGUUCCGCCCUCAAUAUCUUAGGUAAAACAUACCUCGCUUUUCAUUUUAGCUGAAAUGACGAUAACCCGAAAAACUUGUGGUCUAAACGAUUUAAUUCCGUGUUCAGUUUUUGUAUGGUAGGCUAUCUAUCACGGCAUGGGAGAAACUGUUGAUACUGCAGCCACAUAACUGGGCUUUGAGGAGAGAUCAUGGCAUGAUGUUGUCCUAUAGUAGGGAUUAUGUGAAGGCUGUUCAAGAGCUAAGCAUUUGCAUGGCGUUUGUACCCAAAGAAGAGGCCGAAGUUCUGGAACCGUUUGUCGAAAAGUUGCAUUUGUUGCAACUUGAGUCCUCGUGGACGUCUCAAGGACAUAAAGGACGCUUGAUGGUUUUGUAAAGACGUGCUUAUUUGUUUGAACAAAAUCCCUCUGUUCUGUUCGACCUGUUUGACUCGUAACUUACAAAAUAACACUUCAUUUCAACCUGUUUGACCUGUAAAUUACAAAACGAUAUAUUAUUUUUAAUAUCUCAGUUUUUUUAAAA